UACGAAGGGGGCUAGCGUUGCUCGGAAUUACUGGGCGUAAAGCGCGCGUAGGCGGACUGUUCAGUCAGGGGUGAAAUCCCAGGGCUCAACCCCAGAACUGCCCUUGAUACUGCAUGUCUUGAGACCGGAAGAGGUGAGUGGAAUUCCUAGUGUAGAGGUGAAAUUCGUAGAUAUUAGGAAGAACACCAGUGGCGAAGGCGGCUCACUGGUCCGGUUCUGACGCUGAGGUGCGAAAGCGUGGGGAGCAAACAGG
RNAcentral lists this ribosomal RNA (253 nucleotides) under uncultured bacterium. RNAcentral describes it as "partial 16S ribosomal RNA". It matches the Rfam family "Bacterial small subunit ribosomal RNA", at positions 524 to 776 of the family's 1533-position model. The record is from RNAcentral.